Molecule: ribosomal RNA, 468 nt
Filed under: uncultured bacterium
Lineage: Bacteria
Description: partial 16S ribosomal RNA
Rfam family: Bacterial small subunit ribosomal RNA
Source: RNAcentral
GACGAACGCUGGCGGCGUCCUUAACACAUGCAAGUCGAACGGAAAGGCCCUGCUUUUGUGGGGUGCUCGAGUGGCGAACGGGUGAGUAACACGUGAGCAACCUGCCCUUGACUUUGGGAUAACUUCAGGAAACUGGGGCUAAUACCGGAUAGGAGCUCCUGCUGCAUGGUGGGGGUUGGAAAGUUUCGGCGGUUGGGGAUGGACUCGCGGCUUAUCAGCUUGUUGGUGGGGUAGUGGCUUACCAAGGCUUUGACGGGUAGCCGGCCUGAGAGGGUGACCGGCCACAUUGGGACUGAGAUACGGCCCAGACUCCUACGGGAGGCAGCAGUGGGGAAUAUUGCACAAUGGGCGGAAGCCUGAUGCAGCAACGCCGCGUGCGGGAUGACGGCCUUCGGGUUGUAAACCGCUUUCGCCUGUGACGAAGCGUGAGUGACGGUAAUGGGUAAAGAAGCACCGGCUAACUACGUG